Long non-coding RNA from Homo sapiens (human), 512 nucleotides. The record is from Ensembl. Lineage: Eukaryota; Metazoa; Chordata; Mammalia; Primates; Hominidae.
UUGUGUGUGACAGGAAGGAAACUUGUUAAUACUGCUGUCUCAGUCUUUAGCUAUUUCUGCUGUUGCUGCAGAGGCAGAGAGAUGGUGAAAGAAUCAACCUCAGGAAAUAGUAUGGAGGUCAAGGGUCAGCUAAGAGGAUCUACUGAUUUUCUGAUCUGCGGAGCUUUCUGAGAGGAAAAAACUCCCAAGACUCCUAGAAAGUGAGCAUGAGCUGCUAUAGUUUGAAUGUAACCUCUUCAAAAUUCAGAAGAAGCAACAAGAAGAAAGUGUCUUGACUAAUCCUUCUAGUGAAAGAUAUUCACUUUUAUAAUAAGGUGCUUGUCUACACAGAGGUUUCUGAGUCAAAGGAGGAGAACGUACAAAAUAGACCGAAAGAAGAGCCUGCCUAGCUGCUCUUUUUCUUUUGUAAUUACCAAGAUCCCGACGGUUUAUACCCACUCAACUGCAGGUGCUGGGAGAGGAGAGGCUACUGUGACAAAAAUUAUAUAAAGAAGAGCCCAGCAGAUGCAUUU